UACGAAGGGUGCAAACGUUGUUCGGAAUUACUGGGCGUAAAGCGCACGUAGGCGGAUUGUUAAGUCGGGGGUGAAAUCCUGGAGCUCAACUCCAGAACUGCCUUCGAUACUGGCGAUCUCGAGUUCGGGAGAGGUGAGUGGAACUGCGAGUGUAGAGGUGAAAUUCGUAGAUAUUCGCAAGAACACCAGUGGCGAAGGCGGCUCACUGGCCCGAUACUGACGCUGAGGUGCGAAAGCGUGGGGAGCAAACAGG
RNAcentral lists this ribosomal RNA (253 nucleotides) under uncultured bacterium. RNAcentral describes it as "partial 16S ribosomal RNA". It matches the Rfam family "Bacterial small subunit ribosomal RNA", at positions 524 to 776 of the family's 1533-position model. The record is from RNAcentral.